AUUUGAAAUAUUUGCUUAGGUUUGUCGAUAUCGGAGUUUAUGGAGUUCCAAAAAGACCAGGGUUUAACGCUGAAGUUGUGACAAGAAAAAUUGAGGAUUUUGUCAGAAAGACGGAUGGAUUCCAGAUGAUGUAUGCUGACUCCUAUAUGACCAAACCUGAGUUUAGGGCCAUGUUUGACCAUUCCCUCUAUGACAGGAUGAGGAAAAGGUUGAAUUGUGAAGGAAAUUUCCCUGAUGUUUUUGACAAAGUGAACAAGAAGGCCAGAAGUUGUUGAACAAUUUUAAUUCCAGGAUAUUCAAUGUAGUUUUACAAGGGGGAUGUACUUUAUAUUUAAAAAUAACCGCAGGAACCUUUAGUAAUAAAGCUAUUGCUUAGCUUAUUACUAGGGGGGGGGGGGGGGCUUGCAAGUUCUUAAUUCAAAUUUUCUUCAAAAACUAUGAGGAGUAAAAUAUGGGAUUCUUUAAUAUAUAAUUAUAUAAACCUUCUAAUAUUCUAAUUUAAAAAAUAUUCAUCAUAAGAUACUAUAUCUAUGAAUAUAGAUUUCCAUAGAUUUAUGCAUCUAACAGUUCUACAAUUUAAUGUAUUUUUAAUCCAAUAUUUAAAUUUUAAAAGAAAUUAAAUAAAUAACACUAGUUUUCUGUAUCCUUCCAUAGAUUUAUGCAUCUACCAGUUCUACAAUUUAAUGAAUUUUCAAUGUAUACAAUAUUUAAAUUUUACAAGAAAAUAAAUAAAUAACACAA
Eurytemora carolleeae is the source of this 741-nucleotide long non-coding RNA. RefSeq lists it as uncharacterized. The record is from RefSeq and is a predicted model, not a curated record. NCBI's taxonomy places the organism in Eukaryota, Metazoa, Arthropoda, Copepoda, Calanoida, Temoridae. The transcript is spliced from 3 exons.